GUAGGGAAUAUUGGGCAAUGGAGGCAACUCUGACCCAGCCAUGCCGCGUGCAGGAAGACGGUCCUCUGGAUUGUAAACUGCUUUUGAAUGGGAAGAACAUACGGUUUGCGAACCGUACUGACGGUACUAUUAGAAUAAGCACCGGCUAACUCCGUGCCAGCAGCCGCGGUAAUACGGAGGGUGCAAGCGUUAUCCGGAUUUAUUGGGUUUAAAGGGUGCGUAGGCGGCCUUAUAAGUCGGUGGUUAAAGGUAGCAGCUUAACUGUUUUACAUGCCAUCGAUACUGUAGGGCUUGAGUGAUUUGGAGGUAGCUAGAAUUCCCUGUGUAGCGGUGAAAUGCAUAGAUACGGGGAGGAAUACCGAUUGCGAAGGCAUGUUACUACGAAUUAACUGACGCUGAGGCACGAAAGCGUGGGGAUCAAACAGGAUUAGAAACCCCUGUAGUCC
Molecule: ribosomal RNA, 446 nt
Filed under: uncultured bacterium
Lineage: Bacteria
Description: partial 16S ribosomal RNA
Rfam family: Bacterial small subunit ribosomal RNA
Source: RNAcentral